AUGCAGGGAGGUCCAGGCUACGGGUACGGCGGCUACGGCUACGGUGCCGGCUAUGACAUGACCGGGUACGGCAACGGCGGAGCAUACUACACCAACGACCGGUACCCCACGCCGGCACCGGCGCCGGCUGCCUAUGAGGACCCGCUCGCCGGUCGGAGGCAGCACGACUUCCCGGCGCCGCUCACCGGGCUCGAGUUCCAGCCGUCGGAUGCCUGCCCCAAUAACUACGUCAUCUUUGAUCAGACCUACGACCGGAGCAGGGUCAUGUACAACCCGUCGCUGCCCAACAACUUCGGUUCCUCCGGGGGCUAUGACCAGCACGGCAACAACGGCGGCUAUGAUCACAACUACAGCGGCGGCCACGACGGCGGUAAAUGCUCGACUGGGCAGAAGGAGGACAGCGACGAGAUCGACGCGCUGAUGAGCUCUGGGGACGGCGAGGAGGAGGACGACGUGCUGAGCACGGGUCGCACCUCAGGGUGCCGCGGCGACGGCUCCCCGGACUCCACGUGCUCCCCCGGGUACGUGGUGAGCGUCAGCCCGAGUGGCGGCGGAGGUGGCGAGAGGAAGAAAAACCGGAUGAAGAAGAUGAUGAAGACGCUCAAGGGGAUCAUCCCCGGCGGCGACCGGAUGGACACCCCCGCCGCCCUCGACGAGGCCGUCAAGUACCUCAAGUCGCUCAAGGUGGAGGCCAAGAAGCACGGGGUGCGCGGAUCAAGAAGCUAG
RNAcentral lists this ribosomal RNA (726 nucleotides) under Triticum aestivum (bread wheat). RNAcentral's name for it is "partial small subunit ribosomal RNA". The record is from RNAcentral. Lineage: Eukaryota; Viridiplantae; Streptophyta; Magnoliopsida; Poales; Poaceae.